Molecule: ribosomal RNA, 429 nt
Filed under: bacterium
Lineage: Bacteria
Description: partial 16S ribosomal RNA
Rfam family: Bacterial small subunit ribosomal RNA
Source: RNAcentral
UAGGGAAUCUUCGGCAAUGGGGGCAACCCUGACCGAGCAACGCCGCGUGAGUGAAGAAGGUUUUCGGAUCGUAAAGCUCUGUUGUAAGUCAAGAACGGGUGUGAGAGUGGAAAGUUCACACUGUGACGGUAGCUUACCAGAAAGGGACGGCUAACUACGUGCCAGCAGCCGUGGUAAUACGUAGGUCCCGAGCGUUGUCCGGAUUUAUUGGGCGUAAAGCGAGCGCAGGCGGUUUGAUAAGUCUGAAGUUAAAGGCUGUGGCGCAACCGUAGUUCGCUUUGGAAACUGACAAACUUGAGUGCAGAAGGGGAGAGUGGAAUUCCAUGUGUAGCGGUGAAAUGCGUAGAUAUAUGGAGGAACACCGGUGGCGAAAGCGGCUCUCUGGUCUGUAACUGACGCUGAGGCUCGAAAGCGUGGGGAGCGAACAGG